GAUGAACGCUGGCGGCGUGCCUAAUACAUGCAAGUCGAGCGAACAGACGAGGAGCUUGCUCCUCUGACGUUAGCGGCGGACGGGUGAGUAACACGUGGAUAACCUACCUAUAAGACUGGGAUAACUUCGGGAAACCGGAGCUAAUACCGGAUAAUAUAUUGAACCGCAUGGUUCAAUAGUGAAAGACGGUUUUGCUGUCACUUAUACAUGGUUCCGCGCCGCAUUAGCUAGUUGGUAAGGUAACAGCUUACCAAGGCAACGAUGCGUAGCCGACCUGAGAGGGUGAUCGGCCACACUGGAACUGAGACACGGUCCAGACUCCUACGGGAGGCAGCAGUAGGGAAUCUUCCGCAAUGGGCGAAAGCCUGACGGAGCAACGCCGCGUGAGUGAUGAAGGUCUUCGGAUCGUAAAACUCUGUUAUUAGGGAAGAACAAAUGUGUAAGUAACUAUGCACGUCUUGACGGUACCUAAUCAGAAAGCCACGGCUAACUACGUG
RNAcentral lists this ribosomal RNA (497 nucleotides) under uncultured bacterium. RNAcentral describes it as "partial 16S ribosomal RNA". It matches the Rfam family "Bacterial small subunit ribosomal RNA", at positions 28 to 507 of the family's 1533-position model. The record is from RNAcentral.